CAUAUCGAACAACCCACGCUUUUUAAGCAAGACUUUUCGUCAAUCAUCAUGUUAUGAAAACGAUAUGAACAAAAUUUAGAAAUAUCGAUUUGAGGGAGCGAGAUGUCACUCAUUAGGAAUAUCCUCAGAAUGCCAAGAAUCAAGGACGCGCAGACGGACAGAGGAUGUAACCAUUUCAUAACCGACUAUAUAUAUUUUGAUUAAUCUUAAGACCUACGAUUAAGUGAACAUAACUUUUAUUAUACCGUUGCGAUAUCAUCUUGUAUCAGAUUGUCUAAGUUAUUUAACAAAGUAUUCUUAUGUAAAAAGUUAAUUUUACAUAUGUGCUAUAUUACCUCGUGGCGUCAAGAAGUUUUGCUUUCAGUAUUGCAUUCUUAUCCGGUUUGGGUAAGGUCGAAACACUUACCGCCCUCCAAGGUGGUCUUUUAGUGUCCCCAUCUUUGUCCCCACUUUGAUUGCUUCCAAAAUCUUUCAUACGUUUUUGGCUUUUAAAAAUCCUAAUAGAAAAAACUUUAUUAUUAAACAAAAAAAAAAAACGAUUUAAACGACCUGUUUGGCGAAGCUAGAUUUCUUGUGAGUUUAGAAUCCGAAAAAGUUUUAUUAUCUUCAACACUCUGAGUCUCACUCGUCUCAGAUGACGAACCACUAUUAUUUAUAGGAGAGUUAUCUCUACUCAUAAUUUCACAAUUAUGAACUUCCGCUUAAUUAAGAAGUACUUCUGACGUUAUUUUUUUCUUGUGUGUAUAUACUAGCAAAUCAAUUUUAAAAUAUAUAAAUAUUCUUCACUCUUUCGACAGUGUCACCAAUCAUUGGAGGGUUAGUAAUUGUUAUUCAAAGCAACCACAAAUGUAAAGUUGUUCUAUCAUAUUCCGUUGCACAAACGACUGACUAUGUAAAAGUUUCAAAUGCAGCUACUCAAACCCUACUUCCAAGGAUUCCUGGAGAUAUCUUUUUAAACACCUAUUUGGCAAAUUACGAAAAUACAAAAUAUUUAAAGAACAUGAACGAUAUUAAAAAAAAUUAGUUAGUAAAGAUUGUGUGGAAAGAAAUAAGAAGUUGCCUGUUGACGCUGAUGGCUCUUUUGAUUCAGGCCUGAAGGAAAGCGUUUCUAAUACUGAAACCAAUAUGGAGGAAUUACGAAAAACCAACUUCUUGCCUAAACUUAAACAACCAACUUUUUUAUCAUGGAAUUUUGGAUAUGGGGAUUUGACUGAUGAGAUCAAUUCGAGAAAAUGUGUACCGUAUAAUAUUCAGGCAAAUCAUUCACAGCGGAGUUUUACUAGUGUUUAUCAUGAAAUUAAUAGAUUGAUAAACGUGAUUGAGGAUAAUAUAUCUGUUAAACAAUAUUACAAUAAAAGCACAGUAAAAUCGGACCAUUUUAAACAUCAACAGUUAGUUAUGCCCUCUGAAGAAUGGCUACCACUCAUUAAUAAAGAAGAGAACCAUUUGGAAGAAAUGAUGAAGGAAAUUAAGAGGAAAACAAUCAAAUGCAAAUAUUUUAAUAAACACGAUUUUGUUAAUUAGUAAUAUGUUACUAGAAUUUUCUAACUAAGCACAUAAACAUGGAAAUUAAUUAAUAAAUUACUUCGACAUUUCAAAAAUCCUUAUUAUUUUCUCCACAGAAAUUAAAUAUUAAAAAUUUGACCUCAUUAUAUUUAAUCUGGCU
This is a long non-coding RNA of Zeugodacus cucurbitae (melon fly), 1666 nucleotides long. RefSeq lists it as uncharacterized. The record is from RefSeq and is a predicted model, not a curated record. The transcript is spliced from 4 exons. Lineage: Eukaryota; Metazoa; Arthropoda; Insecta; Diptera; Tephritidae.